AGAUUCUUCUAGAAUCUCUGGGGAAAUGCAGUACGUGCCGUUGAGUGAAGCCCUCAGUCCACUGGGCUUAGGAACAUAAGGCACGCUGAACAUUCCCUGAUUACUGUAGAGAUGGAAAUGAACUAAGAGAGCAGUUUCACCAUCUACCUGCUUCCUCAGAAGGGUGCAGGGAAAAGUCAGGCCCUCUCACACCCUGGGUGGCACUUCUGACUUCUAGUUCUUGUUCACAGUGUGUACCUUUACAAAUCGGUUGUCCCCAGAAAGACAUAGAGGUGGCCUUCUCCAGAUCGGUGGGCUUCCUGCCAUGGUUGGCUUCGAUGAUUCCCAGUGUCUAUCAACAUAUUUUCUUCAUUUACUUCUAUACACAGUCAGAAAUUCUCUCCUCGGGGAGAGCUCAAGUAUGCAGUCCUAUGCUUAGUUCUUUCCAACUGGAUCGGAAAUCAAGUCAGAAAAAGUCAGUCUACUAAUUAAGGAUACUAAAGCAGCCUUGCACUUUUAAAUGAAUGAACCCUGUAAGACAAAUCUACGUAAACUCUGAAAGCCAGCUGAUCAGGAUAUGAUGACUGAAGAGCGAUAGAAAGGGACAUUCUUUAAAAUCUUACAACUGGAAAUUUUGUAAGCUUUGCUGUGGAGGUGAAUUGUUUUAGUGUCUAGACAUGGAGCAAUUUUAGUAAAUGCACAAAGGAAAUAAAAAGAUAGGUAGGAAGGAGGAGUUUUUCAUUUGAUAGGAUUAUGGCUGAUUUACCUAAAAAAAUACUCAGUACCUACCUAGGUCAACGGUUGAUCCUAUUCUCCAAAGACUAUCAAGUGCUCGAAAACAUUGUAAAACGAGUCCACUCCACUGAAAAAGUUAAUGCAUCUCUCCAUUAUAAUCUAUUUUCCUGCGGUUAAAAAAAAAAUCCUUUUUUAAAUACCCAUACACGUACCUACUCUACAUGUGCACUUGUGCGCAUGUGCACACACGAACACACACACACACACACACACACACACACACACACCUAUUCACCCUAAGAGUUAG
Molecule: long non-coding RNA, 1021 nt
Filed under: Androctonus crassicauda
Lineage: Eukaryota; Metazoa; Arthropoda; Arachnida; Scorpiones; Buthidae
Source: RNAcentral